Molecule: ribosomal RNA, 492 nt
Filed under: uncultured bacterium
Lineage: Bacteria
Description: partial 16S ribosomal RNA
Rfam family: Bacterial small subunit ribosomal RNA
Source: RNAcentral
AGUGAACGCUGGCGGUAGGCCUAACACAUGCAAGUCGAACGGCAGCACAGUAAGAGCUUGCUCUUACGGGUGGCGAGUGGCGGACGGGUGAGGAAUACAUCGGAAUCUACUUUUUCGUGGGGGAUAACGUAGGGAAACUUACGCUAAUACCGCAUACGACCUACGGGUGAAAGCAGGGGAUCUUCGGACCUUGCGCGAUUGAAUGAGCCGAUGUCGGAUUAGCUAGUUGGCGGGGUAAAGGCCCACCAAGGCGACGAUCCGUAGCUGGUCUGAGAGGAUGAUCAGCCACACUGGAACUGAGACACGGUCCAGACUCCUACGGGAGGCAGCAGUGGAGAAUAUUGGACAAUGGGCGCAAGCCUGAUCCAGCCAUACCGCGUGGGUGAAGAAGGCCUUCGGGUUGUAAAGCCCUUUUGUUGGGAAAGAAAAGCAGCAGGUUAAUACCCCGCCGUUCUGACGGUACCCAAAGAAUAAGCACCGGCUAACUUCGUG